UAAAAAAUAAUAUUGUGCUCUUCCACCGGAGGGCUACACGCCGCCGCUCCUGUUGCAGCCAUGUCUCUAGUGAUCCCCGAAAAGUUCCAGCACAUUUUGCGAGUACUCAACACUAACAUCGAUGGGCGGUGGAAAAUAGCCUUUGCCAUCACUGCCAUUAAGGGUGUGGGGCGAAGAUACGCUCAUGUGGUGUUGAGGAAAGCAGACAUAGACCUCACCAAGAGGGCAGGAGAACUCACUGAGGAUGAGGUGGAGCGUGUGAUCACCAUUAUGCAGAAUCCACGCCAGUACAAGAUUCCAGACUGGUUCUUGAACAGACAGAAAGACGUGAAGGAUGGAAAAUACAGUCAGGUCCUGGCCAAUGGUUUGGACAACAAGCUCCGUGAAGACCUGGAGCGGCUGAAGAAGAUUAGGGCCCACAGAGGGCUGCGCCACUUCUGGGGCCUUCGUGUUCGAGGCCAGCACACAAAGACUACUGGCCGCCGUGGCCGUACUGUGGGUGUGUCCAAGAAGAAAUAAGUCUGUAGGCCUUGUCUAUUAAUAAAUAGUUUAUA
RNA transcript from Trichechus manatus latirostris (Florida manatee), 554 nucleotides. It is a transcript of the gene named 40S ribosomal protein S18 pseudogene, with no coding region annotated. The transcript has a single exon. The record is from RefSeq and is a predicted model, not a curated record. NCBI's taxonomy places the organism in Eukaryota, Metazoa, Chordata, Mammalia, Sirenia, Trichechidae.